UGGCUGUAUGAACCAUGACAUCAUUAGAGAGGGUCCAGAGCGAAGUUCACACAGUCAGAGCGUGUGUGUCCACCUUGAGCAUUGAUGCAGUCCUGGCACCGUCAUCUCAUUGAGGGAUGGUACGGGCUGUGAGGUUUCGCAGAUGCGUGGUUCGGAUCCAUGUUUCUUGGCGAGGGCUUGUCACGGGUCGUCGGCCGCUACGGGAACGAUCUGAAAUAAUGGAUCAUACUAAAAACAACAUUUUCCAAAACAUCCACGAAGAGAUGGUCAAGGGUACGUUCAAUGACCUUGACAUUGUCUGUGAGAAUGGGACAACGAGUGCAAACCGUUUGGUCCUGGCCGCGAUGUCAUCUUACUUCCGGGCAAUGUUAACAUCAAACAUGACAGUGAGUCGGAUGGGCGUCUUAAAUCUGCCCACGGUCUCGGUGUCGGUGUUCCAGGAUAUUCUCAAGAUGUCUUUGUGUUCAGUAGAUCUUGUAAACGAAGACAACUGCGUCAAAAUGUUAGACGCAUGCGAAAUGAUGCAGCUUGAUGACGUCAAAGAUCUGUGUCAUUGUUAUCUUAAGAAAAGUCUAGUGAUCAACGCUGACAAUUGUCUACAGUGGUGGAGACUUAUGAAUCGCUACAAUGUUCCUGAUUUGUCCAGCAGAGCAUUCUCUUAUCUGACAGAAAACUUGACUGACUUUGUUGAAACAGAAAAUACUGGUCAUUUGUCAAAGGCAGAACUUUUAGAAAUAUUGUCCAAAGAUGACUUGAAAUGUAAAGAAGACGUCAUUAUGAAAGGUGUCAUGAAGUGGCUUGAAAUAAAUAAUCCGGAUGCAGAUGAUGUAAAACAUAUCUUUAGAAUGAUCAAGAUCAAUCUUGUUGAUCCAAAGUUCCUCGUUGCGAAUGUGGCAUUUUCAAAAUUCAUUUGUGAAAAUAACUCUGUUCAGGAAAUGAUACAAAAUGUGCUGUGUUCACAUAUUAUGGCAGCCGGUUCAAUCAGCAGGUUUGAUAGUGAAUGUAAGAAUGUUUUCAUAUUACAUUAUAACGAAAAAAAGAAAACAAAUUCACUUCUGUCUUGUUUUACAUUAGAAGGGACAUGGGAAGACGUUCCACCUGCUCCAGUAGAUCCUGGAUUGUGGUAUUCAGCAGCAAGUCUAGGUAACAAGAUCUACAUCACUGGUGGUGUCAGUAGAAGAAAAUGUACACUCGUCUACGACGUCUGUAGAAGAGAGUGGAAAACAGGUCCAGAUCUCGAAGAAGAACGUUUUUGGCACUGCAUGGCCACAACUAAUUCCAAAGUGUAUGCAAUUGGGGGUAAGUACAGCAACACGAUUGAAGAGAUGAGCAAGAGUGACACACGUUGGCAGGUUGUUGGAGAUUUGAAUCAGAAGAGAGAUCUUGCAUUCGCUGCUACAGUUGGACACAACAUUCUGGUGAUGGGCGGACGGAGUGAAGGACGUGGAUCAGAUGUUAUCCAGUGUUUCAAUACAGUGACUCGCUGUGUGUCUAACCUCAGCUCACGUUUACCACACAGAUCGGAGUGUCUGAGAGGUUCGGUUCAACUCCCUGAUGUAUAUCUGCUGGACUAUGAUGGAAAUGUGAUGCACGUCCAGGUCACUGACAGUGAUGGUGAAAUCAAGAUUCAAGUCAAGUCAACAACAAAAUGGCGAUCAUUUGACUAUUGUUUUGGCGUAUUAUGGCAAAAUGGAAGCUUGUUGUCCUUCAGUGCCGCGGUCGCUAACUGUGAAGUUAAAACAUACAACGUGGUUGAAGGUAAAGAAGAAAACAUUAUUUUCCCAAAGUCACCUAAACGUGGUUCUGUCUUCAGUGUCAUUUCUAAAACAUUGUAGGUUCAGCGUGUACUGGGACAUAACAUAUCACUGUAGGUUCAGUGUGUACCGGGACAUAACAUAGCAUUGUAGGUUCAGUGUGUACUGGUACAUAACAUAUGACUGUAGGUUCAGUGUGUACCGGGACAUAACAUAGCAUUGUAGGUUCAGUGUGUACUGGUACAUAACAUAUCACUGUAGGUUCAGUGUGUACUGGGACAUAACAUAUCACUAGGUUCAGUGUGUACUGGUACAUAACAUACCACUGUAGGUUCAGUGUGUACUGGGACAUAACAUAGCACUGUAGGUUCGGUGUGUACUGGGACAUAACAUAGCAUUGUAGGUUCGGUGUGUACUCGGACAUAACAUAGCAUUGUGUGUUCAGUCUGUACUAGGACAUAACAUAGCAUUGUAGGUUCAGUGUGUACUAGGAGAUAACAUAUCAUUGUAGGAUCAGUGUGUACUGGGACAUAACAUAACAUUGUAAUGUUCAGUGUGUACUGGGACAACAUAGCAUUGUAGGUUCAGUGUGUACUGGGACAUAACAUAGCAGUGUCGGUUCAGUGUGGACUGGGACAUAACAUAUCAUUGUAGGUUCAGUGUGUACUGGGACAUAACAUAGCAUUGUAGAUGCUGUGUGUACUGGGACAUAACAUAGCAUCGUAGAUGCUGUGUGUACUGGGGCAUAACAUAGUAUUGCAGGUUCAGUGUGUACUGGGACAUAACAUAGCACUGUAGGUUCAGUAUGUACUGGGACAUAACAUAGCACUGUAAGUUCAGUGUGUACUGGGACAUAACAUAGCAUUGUAGGUUCAGUGUACUAAGACAUAGCAUAACAUUGUAGGUUCAGUGUGUACUGGGACAUAACAUAGCAUUGUAGGUUCAGUGUGUACUGGGACAUAGCAUAGCAUUGUAGGUGAAGUGUGUACUGGGACAUAAUAUAACAUUGUAGGUUCAGUGUGUAUUGGGACAUAACAUAACAUUGUAGGUCGGCUGUGUACUGGGACAUAACAUAGCACUGUAGGUUCAGUGUGUACUGGGACAUGACAUAUCAUUGUGGGUUCAGUGUGUAUUGGGACAUAACAUAACAUUAUAGGUUCAGUGUGUACAUAGACAUGACAUAUCAUUGUGGGUUCAGUGUGUAUUGGGACAUAACAUAUCAUUGUAGGUUCAGUGUGUACUGGGACAUGACAUAUCAUUGUGGGUUCAAUGUGUACUGGGACAUAACAUCGUUGGAUUAAUCAAAUAUUUUCUUAUGAGGUUAAGCCCGUUAAUUAUACUUGUGUUCAGUAUAUAACAUUGAUUUUUCUAUUAACAUGAUGUUGCCCAGUAUACUGGGAAUACAACACUAUAUACGGAUAUUUCAUAUGUUGUACCAAAGUUGACAAAUAGUCAUUUUCUGUUGUCUUAGAAAACCAAACAUAUAACCUAUUUUCAGUUUUUUGUCUCACAGAUUAUUUUAUUUAUACUUUUUUCCCAUAUUUGAAGCUCCAUAAUUCUAUUUAGGUUCAGGAUAUGAUAUUGUUUUCCUUAAAUACGUUGCUCAGUAUACUGCAAAUAAAACAUUCCAUACAGAUAUUUAAUAUUUUGUAUCAUACUUAGGAAAUAACCAUUUGUUAUUGCAUUCCAAGACCACACAUACAACUUAUUUUCAGAUUAUUUUUUUUUAUUUAUUUUUCUUUUCUUUUUUACAUUAAUUUCAUUUUGAUUUCCACUUAUUUUUGUGUUUAGAUCCAAUUAAGGUGCGAGCACGCUGUCCACGACAGUGUGUUAGUUGUUAGUUAGUUAGUGGUUAGUGAGAGAAACGAGUGUGUAGUGGUCUUACACUUACCCAUUGAGUCGUUAAAACUUGCUCUUGGGGGGAGCUGCGAACCUACCAGUCUUAUGUCCGAUUUUUUGUUUUGUUUACAACUACCAGUGCAAGAAUCCAUUUACACAGUAUAUGACAUUAAACUUUAUUUUAUUUUA
RNAcentral lists this unclassified non-coding RNA (3782 nucleotides) under Gigantopelta aegis. Its description in RNAcentral is "ectoderm-neural cortex protein 1-like, transcript variant X1". The record is from RNAcentral. Lineage: Eukaryota; Metazoa; Mollusca; Gastropoda; Neomphalida; Peltospiridae.